Molecule: ribosomal RNA, 512 nt
Filed under: uncultured bacterium
Lineage: Bacteria
Description: partial 16S ribosomal RNA
Rfam family: Bacterial small subunit ribosomal RNA
Source: RNAcentral
GAUGAACGAUGGCGGCGUGCCUAAUACAUGCAAGUCGAACGAAACUUCUUUAUCACCGAGUGCUUGCACUCACCGAUAAAGAGUUGAGUGGCGAACGGGUGAGUAACACGUGGGCAACCUGCCCAAAAGAGGGGGAUAACACUUGGAAACAGGUGCUAAUACCGCAUAACCAUAGUUACCGCAUGGUAACUAUGUAAAAGGUGGCUAUACUACCGCUUUUGGAUGGGCCCGCGGCGCAUUAGCUAGUUGGUAGGGUAAAGGCUUACCAAGGCAAUGAUGCGUAGCCGAAUUGAGAGGUUGAUCGGCCACAUUGGGACUGAGACACGGCCCAAACUCCUACGGGAGGCAGCAGUAGGGAAUCUUCCACAAUGGGCGAAAGCCUGAUGGAGCAACGCCGCGUGGGUGAAGAAGGUCUUCGGAUCGUAAAACCCUGUUGUUAGAGAAGAAAGUGCGUGAGAGUAACUGUUCACGUUUCGACGGUAUCUAACCAGAAAGCCACUGCUAACUACGUG